RNAcentral lists this transfer RNA (72 nucleotides) under Saccoglossus kowalevskii. Its description in RNAcentral is "tRNA-Pro". It matches the Rfam family "tRNA". From Rfam's summary of the family: Transfer RNA (tRNA) molecules are approximately 80 nucleotides in length. Lineage: Eukaryota; Metazoa; Hemichordata; Enteropneusta; Harrimaniidae. The record is from RNAcentral.
GGCUCGUCGGUCUAGGGGUAUGAUUCUCGCUUUGGGUGCAAGAGGUCUCGGGUUCAAAUCCCGGACGAGCCC